CCAGUCACUAGAGGCUGAAAUAGAUAAUGAGAUGCAGGCUGAUCUAGAGACAGCCGGCCCAUCCCAUGUACAGGAGCCACACCAGACUUCUCUACUCAACCCUGGAGACCUGGAACUGGAGGAUACUGAUGUGACCUUCACCACCACGCCCACGCCCCCCCCCAGGCUGCAACAUCCCAGAACAGCCUUGUCAGGCUGCAAAGAAGCUCCCCAGACCUCUGCACCUUUGUGCGGGACAUGACUGAUGACCACUGGAAUCUGCUGAGUGAGAAUAUGCUGGCCAACAUGAGUUAAACAGGUUAGUCCUACCAGAUGAAUUCCCCACAAGGAGCCUUCACCCAGCUGAUGGCAACGCUGAUGUGAUGCCUCCCUCUGCUGGAGUUGAAAAGAAGAGCAAGAAGUGGCGUUUCCUAUUAAAAAUGCCUAACAUCCCGAAGAUCAGGAUCAAGGUGUUCAAGAGAAAAGGGCAAGCCAAGAAGCACCCAGAACUGGAUGCGCUGCCAACAAAACGUUUCAGUGUUAUGUCACUGAAUGCUGAAUGUGAGGUUCCAGAGGUUCCUUCCACUUCCUCACCCAUGGAGGACCUGAUACCUGCACCUACUGCACAGGAUCCCCAGUCCCGUAAAUGCCCCCUUGUGGUUAGGGUGUUCCGGGCCAUCACAAGCCCCUUCAGAGGAGCU
This is a long non-coding RNA of Coregonus clupeaformis (lake whitefish), 680 nucleotides long. RefSeq lists it as uncharacterized. The record is from RefSeq and is a predicted model, not a curated record. The transcript is spliced from 5 exons. Lineage: Eukaryota; Metazoa; Chordata; Actinopteri; Salmoniformes; Salmonidae.